This 839-nucleotide long non-coding RNA is filed under the name Vigna radiata. RNAcentral describes it as "long non-coding RNA (VRAD_LNC003361)". The record is from RNAcentral. Lineage: Eukaryota; Viridiplantae; Streptophyta; Magnoliopsida; Fabales; Fabaceae.
AAAAGUGUAAUUGGUUUGGUGAUUGAUAUUAUAAUUGAAAAGACGUGACAGUAGAAAGUAAAAGAAUAAGAAGAAAGCAGAAACUUAUAUAUUCGAUCAUAAAAGAAGGAGAGAAGAAGUAAAUGAGAAGUCACAUACACAUUUUAUUUAAAAAAAAAAAGAAGGAAAAGUUAGAACAUGGAAGAAAGGAAAGAUGGUAAGUAAUCCUUGAUCCAAUAAGGGUGGAAAGGAGUGUAAAAGAAAAGAAGAAAGAAACAUAGGGAUAUGUGACUGGCAGCGGGGAUGAUAUAAAGCCUUAAUUGGUGAUUCCACAGAUUUUCAUAAUUCCGUCUAUAUCACCAGCAAUUUGGCCACGAUUCAACACCCCGAUCGUAAUGGCGUCAUUUAAGAGGGCAUUUAAAAGGCAAUUAGCAGCUUGGGAAGGAUUCUCAAACGCCCGAAGCGUGGAGCAGCAGGAAGAAGAGUGGUUUGGGGCUGCUGAACCAUCCAAACCCAACAAACUUUGACAUUUAUUCAACUCAUUCAACGCACCUCUUUCUAGAACACAUCCAGGCCUCUGAGACCUCACCAUUGACACUGAUACCACACUCAGAGAGAGCAUAACUACGCCAAUAUACUGAUUCCAACCCAUUUCACACACCUAAUAAUUAUUACAACACUACUUCCUUACUUAUCUUUUUUACUGCCCUAUUUAUAGCCCACUAACUUCUGCUUUUCCUCUUCAUCAUUUAUUUUCACUUAACCAAACUAAAACUAGAUAACCCUUUCCCUUACUUAUAAAAAAUAAUACUUCUUUUCAUUUUUUUUAACUUAAACAAAAAAAUUCAUUCAAUACUCCU